RNAcentral lists this ribosomal RNA (248 nucleotides) under uncultured Eubacteriales bacterium. RNAcentral's name for it is "uncultured Clostridiales bacterium partial 16S ribosomal RNA". It matches the Rfam family "Bacterial small subunit ribosomal RNA", at positions 524 to 771 of the family's 1533-position model. The record is from RNAcentral. Lineage: Bacteria; Bacillati; Bacillota; Clostridia; Eubacteriales.
UACAUAGGUGGCAAGCGUUGUCCGGAAUGACUGGGCGUAAAGGGAGCGUAGGCGGUCUGUUAAGUUGGAAGUGAAAUCCCGGGGCUCAACCCCGGAACUGCUUUCAAGACUGACGGACUUGAGUGUAAGAGGGGUAAGCGGAAUUCCUAGUGUAGCGGUGGAAUGCGUAGAUAUUAGGAGGAACACCAGUGGCGAAGGCGGCUUACUGGAUUAUAACUGACGCUGAGGCUCGAAAGCGUGGGUAGCAA